This 253-nucleotide ribosomal RNA is filed under the name uncultured bacterium. RNAcentral describes it as "partial 16S ribosomal RNA". It matches the Rfam family "Bacterial small subunit ribosomal RNA", at positions 524 to 776 of the family's 1533-position model. The record is from RNAcentral.
UACGUACCGUACGAACGUUAUUCGGAAUUACUGGGCUUAAAGAGUUCGUAGGCGGCGUGGUAGGUGGGGUGUGAAAUCCCUCGGCUCAACCGAGGAACUGCGCUUCAAACCACCAUGCUUGAGGGAGGUAGAGGUGAGCGGAACUGAUGGUGGAGCGGUGAAAUGCGUUGAUAUCAUCAGGAACACCGGUGGCGAAAGCGGCUCACUGGGUCUCUUCUGACGCUGAGGAACGAAAGCUAGGGGAGCGAACGGG